RNAcentral lists this long non-coding RNA (1235 nucleotides) under Rosa chinensis. RNAcentral's name for it is "sRNA RchiOBHm_Chr0c44g0503511". Lineage: Eukaryota; Viridiplantae; Streptophyta; Magnoliopsida; Rosales; Rosaceae. The record is from RNAcentral.
CUUUCUCUCUCUUCUUCCAUCUGCAAACGCCGGAAAACCCAAUCUCCGGCCACCACCUUUUGACACAGCCUCCACCCUUCGAACCAACUCCUAUAUCCGACCAAAACCCGAGCCCAGCACCGCCAUGCAUUAUCUCUAGCCUCCACACGCGACCACCAAACCUGCGACACCACUGCCUUCCAUAAUCCUCCGGUCUCCAGUCACUGAUUCACACCACCAUUAUCAGAAAUUGAAGCACCAAACCUUGAGGAGACCAUGCCUUAAAUCCCAAAGCCGGAAAACCGCCGUACGAGCUCGCCGGAACUCGUAGCUAGCUCUGCAUGCCUUCGUUCCCCAACCUCCAGUCGAAAUCGAGCUAAACUACCUCCAUAGGUGUAAUCAGCGCCUCACUACCCACCUGUUUCUGAGAUGCCGACCUCCGAUUCAGACCAGGGCCACCGCACGCGCUACACGCGCCGCCGCUGGCGCGUAGACCGCCAUAGCUCCGCGGGAAAUAAUGGAAUUCAGACCGGAGAGUGAAGCUUCUGGUCUUGGCUUUGAUUUGUGUUCUUGAUGGGAGGAUGAAGAACCGAGAAAGACUGCAAGAAGCAGCACCUUACGGAGAUUAUGGUCUCGGCAGAACUGAAAAUGGGUAAGGAAUGCAGGCCCUUGAGUUAUGAGUUCGAUUGUUGUUUGGACGUUGGGAUUAAUUAAUUAAGUUGCUGUUCUGCUUUGAGAGAUUUUGGAAAUCCUGAGCUUUGGAAUCUGGGAGUUUGAAGAUUUGGAGAAGAAGAACUGUUGGGUCAGUUUCCAUUGAAAAUGGAUUGAGGAAUUCGAGUGACUGUUGGUGGGAUUGCAGCUACGACGAAACUGGUUUCUGUUUUGGAAAAGGAGAAUGGUAAGGGGACUGUGCAUUCUGGGAUCUAUAUGGUUGUGUGCUAUUUGUAUUGAUAGAAGUUAUGACAUUACUAAGUAAACAAAAUGAGAUAUGGUUAUGCUGCAUGUGAAUCGGCUUAUUGAAUAGAGGAGAAUUGUCUUGAGAAUUAAAAGGAUGAAUUUGUUAUCAACGUCAAAGUGUAAAAUAAGAAUGGAAUUGGUGGUUUGGUCAAAUGCAUGAGAAAAGUGGUAAAUAAGAAUGGACCGGUUUUGGAUAAGUGAAUUAAUAUGUGGGAUGUUCAAUUUAAGGUCCGUGAAUAGAAAUAUUCCAAACCUAUCAUAUCCCAAAUUUAUCGUAUAAUGAAAUUAUUCGGGAAUGG